Molecule: long non-coding RNA, 341 nt
Organism: Lycium ferocissimum
Lineage: Eukaryota; Viridiplantae; Streptophyta; Magnoliopsida; Solanales; Solanaceae
Exons: 2
Source: RefSeq, a predicted model, not a curated record
AACCAACUAAAGUUGCAAAACCGAGCAAGCGAAAAGAUGAUGUAACAGUCAAAAAAGGUUCUAAAGUUGCUCAACAAAAUAAGAGAAAAGUAACCAAGCCUUUUUCCGACGUUAAGGGUAAAAAGGUUGUUAAAGAUGUAGAUCUGGAAGAGGAUGAACAGGUAUUGAUGAAUUUUUUCGAUUUUGUUGUUUUGUAUUUCACUAUAUUUCUGUAUAUUUCAACAUAAUUGGAUAUGCAAUUCAGUAUAUUUCUGUGUAUUUAAUAAAAAGUAUAUGUGCAUCAACUGUAGUUUAUAUCAUAUACAACAUAACUGUGGUAGCUGUGUUCGUAGUUAACUGUA